AUGUACUAUAAAUCAAUAUUAAAUACUUGUAUUAACAUAAUUGUCAUGGCCACUGUUGUGGUGCUGUGUAUUCUGCCCCUGUGUUGGCCACGCCCCCUGUCUGUCUCUGCCUUGCCUGCCACUCAACUGCUCACAUACACGUGGUUUCCCUGCAGUCAUCGCCAGAUCGUACUUCGUGUUACCGUGCCUGCAGUCUUCACUCCCUCCAGCCCGAUACGCCCCAGUCCAACCAACCUCCUGCUUCACUCCUAGCUGAACUAAAUAAACCUGUUCACCGUCACUCCAACUCCUGUCCUGUCUCCUGCUCUUGGGUCCAGCAGCUAACGCUACCCUAACAAUAAUGGCACACUUAAAAAGUACUAAAUAUAGUCAGAAUGUGUAUUAGCUUCUCUGCGGUGCACAGCUAGCAGGGUAGUGCUAGCACAGCUUUUGUUUAUCUUUAUUUUUCCCUUUUAUUAUUGUUAUUUAGUUAACUUGUUAAAGAGUGUGACUAAAAAUAAUUCUCUGGGGUCAGAUGAUCCAAAUUUGAAUAUAAAUGUUACGAUGAAGAGAAACUGUUUGAAAAUGUUGUUUAAGAUGUUGUUAAAGAUGUAUUUAAAUGUACUUUAUUAUGCACAUUUUCCCUGUCAUGCCGUGCAUGUUAAAAAUAAACUUUUCUACCUCAAGUAUGUUCUAAAUAUUUUUUAUGUUUACUUAAAAGUAAUUUGAAAUUCAAAUUAAUUAUAGAAAAAAUAUACUUUCUGUGUACUUUAAAAGUGCUAACAAUAUACUUAGUAUACUAAUGAUAUAUCAUGAGUGCUACUUUAGACAUACUAAAGUACAACUUAGUGUACUUAUCUGAGACAACAUUAAGAUGAACUAUAGUAUGCUUUAGUACAACUUUUUAAUUUUUAUUUGUUUUUUGUAAAUAUAUUUAAAAUACAAUGGCAAUACAUUAUGAUUAAAUUAGAAAUAUACUUACAGUAUAUUCUAAAUGUAUUAAUAGUCAUCUUAAAAGUGGAUUUAAGUAUACUUUAAAUCGAACUAAAGAACAUUAUAAAUAAGUACAGUAUUAGUAGAGAAAAGUGUACUUAAGUACAUUUAAGUUCAACUUAAUGGUGUCUCAAAAAAAGUACAGUCAAGUACACUAACAUGUAUUUUAGUAUAUCUUAGGUAGCAAUAAUGAUAUAUCAUUAGUAUACUAAGUACGUUUUUAAGUACUCGAAAAUAACACACUUUGAGUACAAUAAUUUUGUGCUUAUGAAGUACACUAAGUGUGCUUAAAUUUAGUAUGUUAAAGUAUACUUUUUUUUCGCCUGGGUAAGCAUUCACUGUUUAGUCUGAGAGUAAAUAAGUUCAGUUGGACCGUUUUAAUUUUCUAUGAAUACUUGUCAAAUUUAAGAUGAGCCUCCAGCAUUAAUCUUAAAUAUUUGACCACGGACACCUGGCUGAUUGGCAGAUUUUUUAUCUUAAUAUUUAGAGCAGUCGUGCUUUUUCGAGCAGUCGAAAAAGAUGCAGAGGAGAGCAUGAUUGAAAUGGUAAAGUAUAACAUAAUAUGUGCUUUGUAUUAUCAAUUGACUCAAAUGAGAGUGCAUAUUACCAUACAAUGUAUGUUAUUGUAAAUUUUGAUUGAUGCUCUUUAUUUAUUUUGGUAAGUAAAGUGUGAAUUGUGCAGUAGGUGGGCACAUUUUGAAUGUACCCAAUAUGGCCACGACGUGAGCACUAUAUAUCUGCAUGAAAUAUAUAUUGUUAUUUUAUGAUCUUUUGAACAAUUAUUAUCUAUUGCGUAUAAAAGCUUGCCCAGACAGAAUCCCAUGCACAAAUGCAUAGAGCAAGCUCUACCAAUAUCGUACUACACUUUGUUUGUACAAAUUAUUUAGUUAGUUUAAUUGGUUAUUGAUGCUUUGGCAAAAAUUGUUGUGAUAUUCCUGCCAAUAGAGCAAAUUU
RNAcentral lists this long non-coding RNA (1926 nucleotides) under Gadus morhua (Atlantic cod). Its description in RNAcentral is "lncRNA (ENSGMOG00000035074.1)". The record is from RNAcentral. Lineage: Eukaryota; Metazoa; Chordata; Actinopteri; Gadiformes; Gadidae.